UUCUUAUCCUGAUAAUUUGGUGAUUAGCAUUGGAGCUACUAACAAGUAACAAGCCACAGAAGUUGGAUGAUGCAGUGCUUAGGAGAUUGGUUCUGGAUGAUGCUUUUAUCGACAAGUGAUGGCUUUGACUGAUCGUCCUCAGGCGUUUGUAUAGGUUUUGGAUGAUGCUUUUCUCUAUCAAUAUUGAUGGCUUUGACUAAUCCUCCUCCAGCGUUCUCAUGGGUUUUGGAUGAUGAUUUUAUUAAUCAGUGAUGGCUUUGACUACUCUUCUUCAGGCGUUCUCAUGGGUUCCAAUUGGAAUGGAGUAUACUACUCACAACUAUAAGCUUGUGGACCAGGUUUUGGAUGAUGUUUUAUAUCAAUCAGUGACGGCUUUGAUGGAAACGCUCCUUCUCUAUGCAACGACUUCACUCUUCAGGGGUGUUUUGGAAGCAAAUUAUUGAUCUGAUCAUUACCUUCUUCUACAUGCUGCUACGUCUUCAGGCAUUCUCACGGAUUUGUGGAGGAGGAUUCUACGAUUGUUCGGUGAUGGCUUUGACGGAUCCUUGUCACUCUCAUUCAUGUUAUUCUUCUAGGGUU
Non-coding RNA from Camelina sativa (false flax), 579 nucleotides. The record is from RefSeq and is a predicted model, not a curated record. Lineage: Eukaryota; Viridiplantae; Streptophyta; Magnoliopsida; Brassicales; Brassicaceae.